UUCUAUAUAUUGAGUAUUUCUCUUUAUUAUACUUUAUAUUUAGUUAAUUUAGUUAAUUUAUAUAUUUUAUAUUUUAAGAUAGAUGUUUAAAUCUUAAUGUAUUUUUUCAUUUUUAGUGUAAAGCGGCAAUGUUUAAUAGAAGAACUUGGACAAAUAGUCAAAUAGUUAUAUUUAUGUUUUUUUUCUUUUUUUAUAUAAUGGUAAUAUUACAUUAUGGAGAUAAGCCGUUUUUUUAGUGAAAAUUGUAAUCUUACGUAUGUUUAAUGUAGUUUUUCUAUUUUUUUAUGUUGAGUGUUUACAUAUUAUUGUUAUUUUUAAAUGUAAAAUGGUAAUCUUACAUAUGUUUAAUGUAGUAUUUUCAUUUUUAUGUUGUAUGUUUACAUAUUAUUUAUUAUUUUCGAAAUUAUAUAUAAUGUUUUUUUUACUAAUAUUACAUUAUGGAGAUAAGCCGUCUUUUUUUAGUGAAAAAUGAUAAUCUUACAUAUGUUUAAUUAAUGUAGUUUUUCCAUUUUUUAUGUUGUAUGUUUACAUAUUAUUAUUUUUAAAUAAAAAUGUAAAAUGGUAAUCUUACAUAUGUUUAAUGUAGUAUUUCUAUUUUUUAUGUUGUAUGUUUACAUAUAUUUAUUAUUUUUGAAAUUAUAUAUAAUGUUUUUUUUGUUUUUUUUUUAUAAAACGGUAAUGUUACAUUAUGGAGAUAAGCCAUUUUUUUUUUAAGUGAAAAAUGGUAAUCUUACAUAUGUUUAAUGUAGUUUUUCAAUUUUUUGUAUUGUAUGUUUACAUAUUAUUUAUAAUUUUCAAAAAUUUGUAAUAUUAACAUGUAAAACUAUAUUUUAUGCCACGUGUCAUCUUUCGAGAGAAGUUUUUUUUGCUGAUGUGGACGCUCUAUGGAGCCUCAAAAGGUUAGUUAAUUUAGUUAAUUUAUUUAUUUUAUAUUUUAAGAUAGAUGUUUAAAUCUUAAUGUAUUUUUUCAUUUUUAGUGUAAAGCGGCAAUGUUUAAUAGAAGAACUUGGACAAAUAGUGAAAUAGUUAUAUUUAUGUUUUUUUUUCUUUUUUUAUAUAAUGGUAAUGUUACAUUAUGGAGAUAAGCCGUUUUUUUAGUGAAAAUUGUAAUCUUACGUAUGUUUAAUGUAGUUUUUCUAUUUUUUUUAUGUUGAGUGUUUACAUAUUAUUGUUAUUUUUAAAUGUAAAAUGGUAAUCUUACAUAUGUUUAAUGUAGUAUUUCCAUUUUUAUGUUGUAUGUUUACAUAAUAUUUAUUAUUUUCGAAAUUAUAUAUAAUGUUUUUUUACUAAUAUUACAUUAUGGAGAUAAGCCGUCUUUUUUUAGUGAAAAAUGAUAAUCUUACAUAUGUUUAAUUAAUGUAGUUUUUCCAUUUUUUAUGUUGUAUGUUUACAUAUUAUUAUUUUUAAAUAAAAAUGUAAAAUGGUAAUCUUACAUAUGUUUAAUGUAGUAUUUCUAUUUUUUAUGUUGUAUGUUUACAUAUAUUUAUUAUUUUUGAAAUUAUAUAUAAUGUUUUUUAUUUUUUUUUUAUAAAACGGUAAUAUUACAUUAUGGAGAUAAGCCAUCUUUUUUUUUAAGUGAAAAAUGGUAAUCUUACAUAUGUUUAAUGUAGUUUUUCAAUUUUUUAUAUUGUAUGUUUACAUAUUAUUUAUAAUUUUCAAAAAUUUGUAAUAUUAAAAUGUAAAACUAUAUUUUAUGUCACGUGUCAUCUUUCGAGAGAAGUAUUUUUUGCUGAUGUGGACGCUCUAUGGAGCCUCAAAAGGUCCCUUUUAUUAGUAGAAAAAUUUGUAAUAUUAAAAUGUAAAACUAUAUUUUAUGCCACGUGUCAUCUUUCGAGAGAAGUUUUUUUUGCUGAUGUGGACGCUCUAUGGAGCCUCAAAAGGUCCCUUUUAUUAGUAGAGAUUUCCAUUUUUUAUGCUGUAUGUUUACAUAUUUUUUACAAUUUUCGAAAAUAAGUAAUAUUAAAAUGUAAAAAUAUAUUUUAUGCCACGUGUCAUCUUUCGGGAAAAAAAUUUUCCGCUGAUGUGGACGCCCUAUGGAGCCUCAAAAGCUCCCUUUUAUUUUUUAUUUUGUAUGUUUACAUAUUAUUGUUAUUUUUAAAUGUAAAAUGAUAAUCUUACAUAUGUUUAAUGUAGUAUUUCCAUUUUUAUGUUGUAUGUUUUACAUAUAUUUAUUAUUUUUGAAAUUAUAUAUAAUGUUUUUUGUUUUUUUUUAUAAAACGGUAAUGUUACAUUAUGGAGAUAAGCCGUCUUUUUUUUUAAGUGAAAAAUAGUAAUCUUACAUAUGUUUAAUGUAGAUUUCCAUUUUUAUGUUGUAUGUUUUACAUAUAUUUAUUAUUUUUGAAAUUAUAUAUAAUGUUUUUUGUUUUUUUUUUAUAAAACGGUAAUGUUACAUUAUGGAGAUAAGCCGUCUUUUUUUUUAAGUGAAAAAUAGUAAUCUUACAUAUGUUUAAUGUAGUUUUUCCAUUUUUUAUGCUGUAUGUUUACAUAUUUUUUACAAUUUUCGAAAAUAAGUAAUAUUAAAAUGUAAAACUAUAUUUUAUGCCACGUGUCAUCUUUCGGGAAAAAAAAUUUCCGCUGAUGUGGACGCCCUAUGGAGCCUCAAAAGCUCCCUUUUAUUAGUAGAGAUUUUAAGAUAGAUGUUUAAGUUUUAAUGUAUUUUUCCAUUUUUAAUGUACAACGACAAUGUUUAAUAGAAGAAUUUGGACAAAUAGUCAAAUAGUUAUAUUUAUGUUUUUUUUUUUUUUUAUAAAAUGGUAAUGUUACAUUAUGGAGAUAAACCGUUUUUUUAGUGAAAAAUAGUAAUCUUACAUAUGUUUAAUGUAGAUUUCCAUUUUUUUAUGUUGUAUGUUUACAUAUUAUUGUUAUUUUUAAAUGUAAAAUGGUAAUCUUACAUAUGUUUAGUGUAGUAUUUCCAUUUUUUAUGUUGUAUGUUUACAUAUUAUUUAUCAUUUUCAAAAUUAUAUAUAAUGUUUUUUUACAAAAUAGUAAUGUUACAUUAUAAAGAUAAGCUGUCUUUUUUUUCGUGAAAAAUUGUAAUCUUACAUAUGGUUAAUGUAGUUUUUCCAUUUUUAUGUUGUAUGUUUGCAUAUUAUUUUUAAAAAUAAAAAUGUAAAAUGGUAACCUUACA
This 3127-nucleotide long non-coding RNA is filed under the name Brassica rapa (field mustard). RNAcentral describes it as "long non-coding RNA (BRAP_LNC001145)". The record is from RNAcentral. Lineage: Eukaryota; Viridiplantae; Streptophyta; Magnoliopsida; Brassicales; Brassicaceae.